This 254-nucleotide ribosomal RNA is filed under the name uncultured bacterium. RNAcentral's name for it is "partial 16S ribosomal RNA". It matches the Rfam family "Bacterial small subunit ribosomal RNA", at positions 524 to 776 of the family's 1533-position model. The record is from RNAcentral.
UACGUGGGGGGCAAGCGUUGUUCGGAAUUACUGGGCGUAAAGGGUUCGUAGGUGGCCAACUAAGUCAGACGUGAAAUCCCUCAGCUUAACUGGGGAACUGCGUCUGAUACUGGUCUGGCUUGAGUGCAGGAGAGGAACGCGGAAUUCCAGGUGUAGCGGUGAAAUGCGUAGAUAUCUGGAGGAACACCGGUGGCGAAGGCGGCAUCCUGGACCGGCAUUGACGCUGAGGCGCGAAAGCCAGGGGAGCAAACGGG